GACGAACGCUGGCGGCGUGCUUAACACAUGCAAGUCGAGCGGUAAGGCCCUUUCGGGGGUACGACGAGCGGCGAACGGGUGAGUAACACGUGGGUGACCUGCCCUUAGCUCUGGGAUAAGCCUGGGAAACUGGGUCUAAUACCGGAUAUGACUCCAUAACGCAUGUUGUGGGGUGGAAAGCCUUGUGCGGCUAGGGAUGGGCCCGCGGCCUAUCAGGCUUGUUGGUGGGGUGAUGGCCCACCAAGGCGACGACGGGUAGCCGGCCUGAGAGGGCGACCGGCCACACUGGGACUGAGACACGGCCCACGACUCCUACGGGAGGGCAGCAGUGGGGAAUCUUGCGCAAUGGGCGAAAGCCUGACGCCAGCGACGCCGCGUGGGGA
This 383-nucleotide ribosomal RNA is filed under the name uncultured bacterium. Its description in RNAcentral is "bacterial SSU rRNA". It matches the Rfam family "Bacterial small subunit ribosomal RNA", at positions 28 to 407 of the family's 1533-position model. The record is from RNAcentral.